This 497-nucleotide ribosomal RNA is filed under the name uncultured bacterium. RNAcentral's name for it is "partial 16S ribosomal RNA". It matches the Rfam family "Bacterial small subunit ribosomal RNA", at positions 28 to 507 of the family's 1533-position model. The record is from RNAcentral.
GAUGAACGCUGGCGGCGUGCCUAAUACAUGCAAGUCGAGCGAACAGACGAGGAGCUUGCUCCUUCGACGUUAGCGGCGGACGGGUGAGUAACACGUAGGUAACCUACCUAUAAGACUGGGAUAACUUCGGGAAACCGGAGCUAAUACCGGAUAAUAUUUCGAACCGCAUGGUUCGAUAGUGAAAGAUGGCUUUGCUAUCACUUAUAGCUGGACCUGCGCCGUAUUAGCUAGUUGGCAAGGUAACGGCUUACCAAGGCAACGAUACGUAGCCGACCUGAGAGGGUGAUCGGCCACACUGGAACUGAGACACGGUCCAGACUCCUACGGGAGGCAGCAGUAGGGAAUCUUCCGCAAUGGGCGAAAGCCUGACGGAGCAACGCCGCGUGAGUGAUGAAGGUCUUCGGAUCGUAAAACUCUGUUAUUAGGGAAGAACAAACGUGUAAGUAACUGUGCACGUCUUGACGGUACCUAAUCAGAAAGCCACGGCUAACUACGUG